AACGAACGCUGGCGGCAUGCCUAACACAUGCAAGUCGAACGAGACCUUCGGGUCUAGUGGCGCACGGGUGCGUAACGCGUAGGAAUCUGCCCUUGGGUUCGGAAUAACAGUUAGAAAUGACUGCUAAUACCGGAUAAUGUCUUCGGACCAAAGAUUUAUCGCCCAGGGAUGAGCCCGCGUAGGAUUAGCUAGUUGGUGAGGUAAAGGCUCACCAAGGCGACGAUCCUUAGCUGGUCUGAGAGGAUGAUCAGCCACACUGGGACUGAGACACGGCCCAGACUCCUACGGGAGGCAGCAGUGGGGAAUAUUGGACAAUGGGCGAAAGCCUGAUCCAGCAAUGCCGCGUGAGUGAUGAAGGCCUUAGGGUUGUAAAGCUCUUUUACCCGGGAGUGAUAAUGACAGUACCGGGAGAAUAAGCCCCGGCUAACUCCGUGCCAGCAGCCGCGGUAAU
This 451-nucleotide ribosomal RNA is filed under the name uncultured bacterium. RNAcentral describes it as "bacterial SSU rRNA". It matches the Rfam family "Bacterial small subunit ribosomal RNA", at positions 29 to 524 of the family's 1533-position model. The record is from RNAcentral.